Molecule: ribosomal RNA, 253 nt
Filed under: uncultured bacterium
Lineage: Bacteria
Description: partial 16S ribosomal RNA
Rfam family: Bacterial small subunit ribosomal RNA
Source: RNAcentral
UACGAAGGGGGCUAGCGUUGCUCGGAAUCACUGGGCGUAAAGCGCACGUAGGCGGAUCUUUAAGUCAGGGGUGAAAUCCUGGAGCUCAACUCCAGAACUGCCUUUGAUACUGGGGAUCUCGAGUCCGGAAGGGGUGAGUGGAACUCCGAGUGUAGAGGUGAAAUUCGUAGAUAUUCGGAAGAACACCAGUGGCGAAGGCGGCUCACUGGUCCGGUACUGACGCUGAGGUGCGAAAGCGUGGGGAGCAAACAGG